UGGGGAAUAUUGCACAAUGGGCGGAAGCCUGAUGCAGCGACGCCGCGUGAGGGAUGACGGCCUUCGGGUUGUAAACCUCUUUCAGUAGGGACGAAGCGUAAGUGACGGUACCUGCAGAAGACGCACCGGCUAACUACGUGCCAGCAGCCGCGGUAAUACGUAGGGUGCGAGCGUUGUCCGGAAUUACUGGGCGUAAAGAGCUCGUAGGCGGUUUGUCACGUCGUCUGUGAAAUCCUAGGGCUUAACCCUGGACGUGCAGGCGAUACGGGCGGACUUGAGUACUACAGGGGAGACUGGAAUUUCUGGUGUAGCGGUGGAAUGCACAGAUAUCAGGAAGAACACCGAUGGCGAAGGCAGGUCUCUGGGUAGUAACUGACGCUGAGGAGCGAAAGCAUGGGUAGCGAACAGG
Molecule: ribosomal RNA, 409 nt
Filed under: Verrucomicrobiota bacterium
Lineage: Bacteria; Pseudomonadati; Verrucomicrobiota
Description: Verrucomicrobia bacterium partial 16S ribosomal RNA
Rfam family: Bacterial small subunit ribosomal RNA
Source: RNAcentral